GGCGUAGCUCAGUUGGUAGAGCAGCUGAUUUGUAAUCAGCCGGUCGGGGGUUCGACUCCUCUCGCC
This 66-nucleotide transfer RNA is filed under the name Alcanivorax borkumensis. It matches the Rfam family "tRNA". From Rfam's summary of the family: Transfer RNA (tRNA) molecules are approximately 80 nucleotides in length. Their secondary structure includes four short double-helical elements and three loops (D, anti-codon, and T loops). RNAcentral also lists the same sequence under 10 other names. The record is from RNAcentral. Lineage: Bacteria; Pseudomonadati; Pseudomonadota; Gammaproteobacteria; Oceanospirillales; Alcanivoracaceae.